RNAcentral lists this long non-coding RNA (3299 nucleotides) under Triticum aestivum (bread wheat). RNAcentral describes it as "long non-coding RNA (TAES_LNC020397)". The record is from RNAcentral. Lineage: Eukaryota; Viridiplantae; Streptophyta; Magnoliopsida; Poales; Poaceae.
UAAGAGCGAGCCCGACUGCUCUCUCUCCCUGGCACGCCCGUCCCCUUCCUCCCUCGCGUCACCCUCCUCUCUACAGCCGCAGCUGAGCGCCACCAUCGCCGUGUCGCCAUGGCCACCGGCUACCCCGCGUCACUGGAGCAUGUCCAGGAGGCACAUAGGCGUCGCCUUCAUCGAAUACGACACCGGACCGAGGCGGGGAAACCUCAUCGGCACCGCCGUCGGCUAGUCUUCUUCAUCGGCCUCCGCCACUUCUCGCCAAUGAUUCAUCGCCCAGGUCCACCCCCGGCUCCCCGAGCUCCCCUCUGGCCUCUCGGUGAGCUCGCGCAUCCCCUACCUCGCCCUGUGUCCUGGCUGCGCUCCUGGCCUGCCCGCGCUCGUGCGGCUGCCUGCCGCCGCCGUCCGCCGCUCACCCCGCUGCUACAAGCCACCGUAGUUCCCGCCGCUGCUGCCGUUGGAUGCGCUUAGUCGCGCAGGUCAUGUAGAGCGCACCAGCGCGUGCAGCCAUCGCCGGAAUUGGCCGGCCGGAGCUCCUCUGCCACGCCGUAUUAGCGUCGUUGUUAUGCCGAUGACGUGGCGUUGUCAUUAGCUCUAAUUAACCCGGCUAACCCCACUGAUAGUGGGCCCCAUGCCACUAACUAACUAGUUAAGUUUUGUUAAAAAAUGUUAACUAGUCAGAGUCAAUGACAGGCGGGUCCCACUGGACCCGCUGACCAGUCAACUGUUGCGUUGGCAGUUGACUGGCCCCGCCUAUCGGCCACUAGUGCAAAUCUGGGUGCACUGCACCGGGUGCACCCAGCCCCUUUCUGACUUUUUGGUUAAUUUGAAUUUAAUAAUUGAAAUAAAUUCAAAAAAUGUUUAAAACUUUAGAAAUUAAUAUAAAAUAAUCUAUAAGUCAGAUGAAAAUAAUUUAUAUAUGAAAAUCAAUCAGAAAAAUAUGAUGAAUCUGAAUAUGUCAUCCACAUACCUACGACACCCCUCCAACACUGCAAAUAUGGAACCUUCCCCUUCGGUUCAUCUGUCCGAUAAUUGCCUGGAGUCGGGAAAAUAUUCUCGGUUAUUUUCUCACUCCACCUAUAACACUUAGCACUGCGUUAGGUCACCCCUAGCUUAGCUUACUGCCUUGUCAUGCUUUGUGUUGCAUUUGUAUGCCUAUUAUUUAUUGUUUAUUCCCCCUCCUUCUCCGGUAGACCCCAAGACCGUUGCCGAUGCCCGUGUGAUCGACUACAUCGGCAAUGUUCCGUAGCUAUCUGCGGAGCUUCCAGGCAAGCAAACCCCCCUUGAUCAUUCUGAUGUCACCCAUUCCAUUCUUUCUCAUGCCUACAUUAGAUUUUGCUUUUGUAAAUGAUUACUCAUAUUCUGAUGCAUAGCUUGCUUUUAUAACCUUCUUUUGUACCUUACCUGCUUAUCAUAUAUGCUUAUAGGUUGGUUAGUGAUCCAUUAGUGACCCCUCAUCUUGUCCUUGUUGCCCCCGCUGGAUUAUCAGAUGACUCGAUCGACGUCCAGAGCCUGACACAUAACCUCACCCUCUUUAGUUGUACGACUCUGCAGGUUGCUAUCGAGUGCCGAGGGUGAUACAUCGUAACGCACUUUUGAUGAUAUCUCUGUAGUGUAUCAAUUCAGUCAUGGUCCUCGAGGGUGAUUCCUCCUUCACCACUCCUGAUACGACUCUGUCGUGCAACGCCUCAAGUGUGAACCUCAAGGAUGAUUCCUCUUACUUCACCUUGAUGAUUACAUCAAGUGUAUUCCAUCGAGGGUGGUUUCUCGGAUUCCCCCCUUGUUGUUUUGGACACACGGUUACUUUGACUUUACCACAGAACCAUGAUGAAGUCGGGUCGGCGCCGUGGGGUACCCGCGAGAGAUUUACUGAAGUCGGGUUGAUCUGGAGGGUACCCACGGGAUGAUUAUGUGGCACGACCGGGAAGACAAACAGCCCUGCAGUGGGCUAGGCCUGACCCUUGCCUCAAGUCCUCUAGAUGGGGUGACAGAAGCAAUGAUCAUCACUGCGCGCUCCCAAGACACUAACGAGAUUGGGUAUUUGAUCUGAGUUGGUCUUUGACCUAUACGCACUAACCACCACACGGGAACAGUUACGGGCACUCGAUGCCGUCUGUAUCAACUGAAGCUCUUUGGAUGUGAGCGACUGAGCGGCGCGCACCCGGGUGGUCCGCAUAAGCACUUGCAUUGUAUAAGGAGGUCGCCAGGACUGAUCCCGUCCGCCCUCGUAACGUGCAGGAGUGCAAAGGGCGAUGGACCCACCCCUGCGCGCUUAGGAUGUAGACCGGCGUGUUGGCCUCUCUAUUGAGCCUAGGUAGGGCUACGACGUGUUGAUCUUCCGAGGCCGGGCAUGAACCAGGAAAGUGUGUCCGGCUAGAGUGAUCGAGUGUGUUGGGUAAUGUGGUGCACCCCUGCAGGGAAGAUAAUCUAUUCAAAUAGUUGUGUCCACAGUAACAGGAUGACUUGGAGUUGUAUCCCGAUCUUUACAACUAGAAAUGGAUACUAGAAUUGUGAAAUGAAUAUGUUGGCUUUGGGAUCUCUUUCUCGUAGGGAGUCGAGAAAGGAUCUCUGGGCGUUAAUACUACAACAUACUUGCUUAAUAAUAUGUUACUCUAUACUCUUCUAAAUGCUGCAAGAUGCUUUAAGAUGCUAGUCUUCGAUAGGCUAGGCUUUCCCCCUCUUCUGGCAUUUCUGCAGUUCAGUCCAAAGAUAUAGCCCCAUUCCUUUGAUACUGAUGCAUAAUUAGUUUAGAUCUGAUGUAAGUCUUGCGAGUACUUUGGAUGAGUACUCAUAGUUGCUUUGCUACAUUUUUUCCCUGUACCCAGUUGCUGCGAUCAGAUGGUGGAUCCUAGGAGCCAGAUGCCACCACUGACGACUAUUACUACUCCCCAAGGGUGCCAACUACUACAUGGAGACCGCCGACGACCAAGAGUAGUUAGGAGGUUCCCAGGCAGGAGGCCUUGCCUUUUUGAUCUAUGAUGAUUUUGUGCUAGCCUUCUUAAGGCAAACUUGUUUAACUUAUGUAUGUACUCAGAUAUUCUUUCUUUCGCUGACUCGUUUAUAUUCGAGCUUAUGUAUUCAAGCCCUCGAGGCCCCUGGCUUGCAAUGUAAGGUUUGUAUUAUUUUAAUUUGUGUUUAGAGUUGUGUUGUGAUAUCUUCUCGUGAGUCCCUGAUCUUGAUCGUGCACAAUUGUGUGUAUGAUUAGUGCACAAUUGAAUCGGGGGCAUCACAUCGCAGGAGCUCGAACCCCGAGUGGGUCGAGCCACUCACCCCUGCCAGCAAUCCUGAGUGGGUCUAGCCAGUCA